ACGGUCGCGUGCUGCAAAGCAUGAGGAAAGUCCGGGCUGCACAGGGCAAGGAUAACGGAUAACGUCCGCCGGGGGUGACCCCAGGAAUAGUGCAACAGAGAUAUACCGCUUUGCUGCUCCCGCAGCAGAGUAAGGGUGGAAAGGCGAGGUAAGAGCUCACCGCGCCCCAUGGUAACAUGGGGGGCCUGUAAACUCUAUCCGCAGCAACGCCGACAGGGACCAUGACCGGCCCGGCCGUCCCGACUGGCGGCUUGAGGCGCGCGGCAACGCGCGUCCCAGAUAGAUGACCGUUCACGACAGAACCCGGCUUACCGCUCCAGU
Molecule: RNase P RNA, 321 nt
Filed under: Agathobaculum desmolans
Lineage: Bacteria; Bacillati; Bacillota; Clostridia; Eubacteriales; Butyricicoccaceae
Description: Bacterial RNase P class A
Rfam family: Bacterial RNase P class A
About the family: Ribonuclease P (RNase P) is a ubiquitous endoribonuclease, found in archaea, bacteria and eukarya as well as chloroplasts and mitochondria. Its best characterised activity is the generation of mature 5'-ends of tRNAs by cleaving the 5'-leader elements of precursor-tRNAs. Cellular RNase Ps are ribonucleoproteins.
Source: RNAcentral